This 217-nucleotide long non-coding RNA is filed under the name Cucumis sativus (cucumber). Its description in RNAcentral is "long non-coding RNA (CSAT_LNC003194)". Lineage: Eukaryota; Viridiplantae; Streptophyta; Magnoliopsida; Cucurbitales; Cucurbitaceae. The record is from RNAcentral.
UGCUAAAUUGGGGUAUAUUCUCCCAGAGACGAUGCCCAGUUGUGCUGCCUCCAUUUUCGAAUGUUGGAUUCAUUUUGCUCCAACCAAAGACACCCUAGAGUUGAUACCAAUUAGUAUUGAUUGUUCUAGAUAUGGUCUUUCAUGUGAAAAUUAAAGGGUGGUGAGAACAGUAAACAGAAGCUACCUCGAUAUAUGCAUCAAACAAGGCCAAAUUCAU